Molecule: long non-coding RNA, 1458 nt
Organism: Lycium barbarum (goji berry)
Lineage: Eukaryota; Viridiplantae; Streptophyta; Magnoliopsida; Solanales; Solanaceae
Exons: 2
Source: RefSeq, a predicted model, not a curated record
GACUAUUACAACAUCAUAUUAUUUUAUUUUUUAUCCGAGCACUAAUAAAUACAUAAUAUUUCGGCACACGUUAAUAUCUAAUUAAUUGAAAGGGGGGCCUUUUUAUUUAAAUUUGGAACCCAAAUCAACCAAAUGCUUCGGACCAGCCUAUAAGAAAUCGUCCUACACAUGUUAGCCCAAUUUCCCCGAAAGCAACCAGCCCACUAAGAUGCCAACCCGGCCCAGAAGCCUUAAUUUCCCCAAAACAGCCAUUUUCUUCAUAUGCAACGGAACCAAACGAACCCCAAGGCUAGAAUCCAUCUUCAAUCAGAGCAUAACCCAGCUGUUUUUUGGCCAUUUUUAGCCAAAUCUCAGAGGCUUUUCGCGUCCUCAGUCGAUGCCUCAUCUUUUCCGGGCAAAAGAGUUAUCUUGUUUGUCUCCAACGGUAACAUACGCUCCACUUCCAGAAAGGGUUUUCCCAUUUUUGCUCGAUGACAUGCGACAAUCUUCAAAGCCAUAAAUGGUCGAGCAUUUUCGGGUAAGAAUCCAAGUCAAACCACGUGAAAAUUUGUUCAGGUUUGAACGAUUCCAUUUUUGACCCGUUUUCAAAACCCUAGAUGAACCAAAGAUCCCGCCCAAUUUUCAAUUAUUCAAACCUUAGCAAACCCUAAUCCUUUCCUAUAAAUAUUGGCUUCUCAACCAGUUGAGGAGAGGGGGGAGCCGCCGGAAAAUUCCCUAAAAUUAGAAGUUUUUAGUCGCCUGAAAUCCCUUUAAAAAAUAAGCUUUUAGCCGCACAACAUUCCCCUAAAAUAUUAGCCCACUUUUUUAAAAAAAUAUUCGAAGCGUCGAAUCAUCUCUUUUUAUUCUCAUUUUUUGCUCCGGUUACUGUUUCGCAUCCGAGUCUACGCAAACUCAGAGAUUCGAAGUGUUCGAGGUAUAUCGGAAGCUCGAGCCCCACUUCGCUGCACCCGAAGCAGCAAAAUAUUUCAAUGUGCAGCACAAACCAUCUAGGAACUCCAGAUGAUUUUAAGCAGUCUUCAAAUCAUGCUCUUUUUGAAACCAAACGCUCACCAAAAAAGAGUCCAAUAUAAUCUGAAGCAAACGAUAUUUUGUGUCAGCAAACUGGAGCUUCAAACUCAAAAGGCUGAAGAAAUUAAGAAUAACCUGGUUCAAAUGUGCCGCUAUGCAUGGAAGAACCAGUAAACCAGAUUCACCAAGAGCACCACCAAGCUGUUCCACUACUGCUACCAUUACAGGCAGAGUUUUCUUGUAACAAAAUGAAGGAAAUUAGGGCGUUUUGAUUAUGUCAUGGAAAAAAAAACAAAAAAAAAAAAGAACAUGGAAUCAGGUUUCUCAUUCUGCAUCAACAUUUCUAGACUCAUGCACUUUGAAAUAGCGCUAGAUGAGCAGAAAGAUAAGAUGUAGUUUACCUGGCUCGCAACAAGUAAAAGAGCACUAGUAUUUUGCUUCUUUGAAAAA